RNAcentral lists this long non-coding RNA (589 nucleotides) under Brachypodium distachyon (stiff brome). Its description in RNAcentral is "long non-coding RNA (BDIS_LNC004444)". Lineage: Eukaryota; Viridiplantae; Streptophyta; Magnoliopsida; Poales; Poaceae. The record is from RNAcentral.
CACAAUUGAAAUCCGACAAAACUACAAGAAGCUAAUUCUCCGCGCCAAGCUGUCAUUAUCACUUUCCUGCUGCCUCCUACUCCAAGCUUUAUAUUUUUUUUCUUUUUUUGUAACUGCAUAUAGUUAGGCCAGGGAGCAAGACGUAGCAUAUUUGAGAGUAGAUGGGGCAAAAAAUAUAUCUGAUCUUCAAAAUUGGUGUUGGGUGGGAGCAAGACGCAGGCCAGGGGCUGGCUGUAGUAGUAUUUAUCAUGCUGGUUUCAUAUCACGGACACGGAGUGCUUGUAAAUAUGUUUAGUAAUUAAUUUGUCCCAUUUUUCUUUUUCACUGUACCAAAAUGUUUUUUAAUAUUCAUCGUGUUGGUUUCGUGUCAUAAAUUGUAUUUGAACCCGGAGUCAAAUUCGAUCCACGUGCCACACCAGCUCAUGCCACACUGAGAUGCUCGAUCGAUCUACGUUCCCCGAGCUGGCGAAGCGUCACAAGCGAUACAUGCUUCCUCCGGCUACCCCAGGGUAUGCUGGACCUAUACUGGGCAUGGGUGGCCCGGCCCGAAGCCCGACGUUCCGGGUCGGGUUCGGGCCUUACUUUCCAG